CUUUUCUUGUCUUUUGAUUUGAAGUACGGCCUGCCCACUGAUGUUGUUGAAGGGCCGCGGUAUUUUGACCGUGCAAAGGUAGCAUAAUCAUUAGUUCUUUAAUUGUGAGCUGGUAUGAAUGGUUUGACGAGGUGUCAUCUGUCUUUAAUUUGGAUUUAUUGAAUUUGAUAUUUGGGUAAAAAUGCCUAGAUUUUUUUAUGGGACGAGAAGACCCUAUAGAGUUUUAUAUAAUGUGUUCUUUUUAGUUUGUUGCGCUUUUUGAAUUGGUUUAUAUUUUGUUGGGGUGAUGGGAAGAUAAGUUUAACUCUUCUUUUUUGGUUUCACUUAUUUGUGUUUUUGUGAUCCUUUAUUAUUGAUUGAAAGAUCGAACUACCUUA
RNAcentral lists this ribosomal RNA (377 nucleotides) under Cryptotermes rotundiceps. Its description in RNAcentral is "partial large subunit ribosomal RNA". Lineage: Eukaryota; Metazoa; Arthropoda; Insecta; Blattodea; Kalotermitidae. The record is from RNAcentral.